GACGGAUGGCAGCAGCGAGGAAUAUUGGUCAAUGGACGCAAGUCUGAACCAGCCAUGCCGCGUGCAGGAAGACGGCUCUAUGAGUUGUAAACUGCUUUUGUACGAGGGUAAAUCCCGAUACGUGUAUCGGGUUGAAAGUAUCGUACGAAUAAGGAUCGGCUAACUCCGUGCCAGCAGCCGCGGUAAUACGGAGGAUUCAAGCGUUAUCCGGAUUUAUUGGGUUUAAAGGGUGCGUAGGCGGUCGGAUAAGUUAGGGGUGAAAUCCCGAGGCUCAACUUCGGAAUUGCCUCUGAUACUGGUCGGCUAGAGAGUAGUUGCGGUAGGCGGAAUGUAUGGUGUAGCGGUGAAAUGCUUAGAGAUCAUACAGAACACCGAUUGCGAAGGCAGCUUACCAAGCUACUUCUGACGUUGAGGCACGAAAGCGUGGGGAGCAAACAGGAUUAGAUACCCGUGUAGUC
Molecule: ribosomal RNA, 458 nt
Filed under: uncultured bacterium
Lineage: Bacteria
Description: partial 16S ribosomal RNA
Rfam family: Bacterial small subunit ribosomal RNA
Source: RNAcentral